Molecule: long non-coding RNA, 409 nt
Filed under: Homo sapiens (human)
Lineage: Eukaryota; Metazoa; Chordata; Mammalia; Primates; Hominidae
Description: HSALNT0116123
Source: RNAcentral
GCAUAAAGGGAACGGGUGGGGACACAGGGCCCCUGCAGCCUCAGGAGGAUCAGCAGUGGCCUGGUUUACUCGUGUCGUCAUUCGUCGUGGGCACCUUGUCCCCGGGGCCGGCCAGUUACUUGGCCUCCUGGCUCAUCAUCCUGCCGGAAGCAUCUCCAGCUUGGGGAUGUUGGAGGGUCCCUGGCCCCACCUGGCUGGGGAUGGAGUGUGAAUUCAUUGUACCUGCCUGGCCCCUGAAGGAGCCGAGGAGAUGCCAUGUGAGGGUGCAGCGAGGAGUUGGGCUGUCUAAAAGCAAAGAAAGAGAUUGCAUCAGACACCGCAUCUGCUGACACCUUGUUCUUGGACUUCCAGCUUCCAAAACCGCGAGAAAUAAAUGUCUGUGUCUAAACCCCAACCCUACCACCUCAAC